GGUUCGGCUCUCGGGUGGAUCCUGCCUGCCCUGCCGGGAGCUCUCCUGCCCUGCCGGGAGCUCUCCACAGCUCUCGGCAUCUCCCUGUGUCAGAGCCGCGCAGUGCUCGGGUGGGAGUCAGGCUGACAUUCAUUUUGAGAAAGGCAUCUUGAGAAGCAGCUUGAGAAACGCAGCAAGUUGAAGCACAGGCUGGAAAAAAGCACACCGCCUGAGCUGGACUGGGUGAUCCUGAUGAACCCCUUCCAAUCACUGCAUCCUGUAAUUCUGUGACAUGGACUGAGGCAGCCUGUGGGGCAGGAUGGACAGCAGGACAGCAGGGACAGGCAAUGCUCACUCAUUUCUGACCCCCACCAACCUAGGGUAGAAGAACCAGGACCUCCAGUGUUUUUAAACAGGAAAUUGUGUGUGCCCCAUUGCUGUGUACAUUUACUGUGAUGGUGGAACUUGUGAGCUCUGGGAUCACAGGGAUACAGCCAGACUGUGUGGAAUUAGACAUAAAUUUGUUCUCACACCAGUUGUGAGCAGGUAGCUGAAAACCUGUUGAAGGUAAUAAUAAACUUUCUCACUGGUGAACAUCAGAGAAAUCCCAGGAGUUCCUGAAUUUGUCACAGGAAGCCUCAAAUGAGUUGAAGUUCUGGUCUGGAGUCAUGGUCAUGCCUGGGUACAAAGAGCCUCUGCUUGUAGCUGUUCAGAAAAAAAGGAGUCCAGACUGUGGGCUGUUCUUGCCUUCCCAUGAAAUUCCACUCUUCCCCUGGUUUAGGUACAGGAAGGAAAGAAUCCAUCUGUGGCAUUUCCCUGUGCAAGAUGCCAAAUGUUCAGUUGGAAAGGAGGUUUCUUCCCCCAGUCAGAACUGUCUCCUCUGUACCUCAAGAACUUCCUGUAGGAAAUUUUUAGACUGCUGGUGGAGCCCCAUGGAAUGAGUCAGCUCUGUGCUGCUUUCAGUCCUGUGAAUGAAAGGAGUCUGGAGGCAUAAUUUCCUUAUUACUGCAGCAUGGGUUUGAGAAAAUUGUAGAAUUCACUGCUUUCUCAUAGAUAUGUCUGUCUAAUUGACAGAAAGAAAACACCAAAGCCUCGUGUGAAUCACAAUUCCAGAAUCAUUAAGGAUGGGGAAAAAACUCCAGGAUCAGCAAGUCCAACCUGUGACUGACCCAGCCCAGAGCUCUGGGUGCCACCUCCAGGGAUGGGCACUCCAAACCUCC
Molecule: non-coding RNA, 1199 nt
Organism: Zonotrichia albicollis (white-throated sparrow)
Lineage: Eukaryota; Metazoa; Chordata; Aves; Passeriformes; Passerellidae
Source: RefSeq, a predicted model, not a curated record